Small nucleolar RNA from Hippopotamus amphibius kiboko, 72 nucleotides. RefSeq annotates it as small nucleolar RNA SNORD113/SNORD114 family. NCBI's taxonomy places the organism in Eukaryota, Metazoa, Chordata, Mammalia, Artiodactyla, Hippopotamidae. The transcript has a single exon. The record is from RefSeq and is a predicted model, not a curated record.
UGGAUCAAUGAUGACCACCCGUGGCGUGUGAGUUGUGUACGAUGAACAUGCAUCUGGAACUCUGAGAUCCAA